Molecule: transfer RNA, 73 nt
Filed under: Camelus bactrianus (Bactrian camel)
Lineage: Eukaryota; Metazoa; Chordata; Mammalia; Artiodactyla; Camelidae
Also listed under: 1 other name
Rfam family: tRNA
About the family: Transfer RNA (tRNA) molecules are approximately 80 nucleotides in length. Their secondary structure includes four short double-helical elements and three loops (D, anti-codon, and T loops). Further hydrogen bonds mediate the characteristic L-shaped molecular structure. tRNAs have two regions of fundamental functional importance: the anti-codon, which is responsible for specific mRNA codon recognition, and the 3' end, to which the tRNAs corresponding amino acid is attached (by aminoacyl-tRNA synthetases). tRNAs cope with the degeneracy of the genetic code in two manners: having more than one tRNA (with a specific anti-codon) for a particular amino acid; and 'wobble' base-pairing, i.e. permitting non-standard base-pairing at the 3rd anti-codon position.
Source: Rfam by way of RNAcentral
GAGGGUAUAGCUCAAGUGGUAGAGCAUGUGCUUAAGAUGUACGAGGUCCUGGGUUCAAUCCCCAGUACCUCCA